UCGAGAAUCUUUCGCAAUGCCCGAAAGGGUGACGAAGCGACGCCGCGUGCGGGAAGAAGGCCUUCGGGUUGUAAACCGCUGUCGGGAGUUAAGAAAUGCAAGGAUGUUAAUAGCGUUCUUGCUUGACUAAGGCUCCGGAGGAAGCCACGGCUAACUCUGUGCCAGCAGCCGCGGUAAUACAGAGGCGGCAAGCGUUGUUCGGAAUUAUUGGGCGUAAAGAGCACGUAGGCGGCUGUGUAAGUCGGUUGUGAAAGCCUUCCGCUCAACGGAAGAACGGCAUCCGAUACUGCAUGGCUUGAGUGUGGGAGGGGAGAGUGGAACUUCUGGUGGAGCGGUGAAAUGCGUAGAUAUCAGAAGGAACACCGGCGGCGAAGGCGACUCUCUGGUCCAUAACUGACGCUGAGUGUGCGAAAGCUAGGGGAGCAAACGGGAUUAGAUACCCACGUAGUCCCUGAGCGGGCUGGCAAGGCGCAU
RNAcentral lists this ribosomal RNA (474 nucleotides) under uncultured bacterium. RNAcentral describes it as "bacterial SSU rRNA". It matches the Rfam family "Bacterial small subunit ribosomal RNA", at positions 355 to 825 of the family's 1533-position model. The record is from RNAcentral.